GAGAGUACAGCUCAAGUGGUAGAGUGCGUGCUUAGCACGCAUGAGGUCCUGGGUUCAAGCCUCAGUACUCUCU
RNAcentral lists this transfer RNA (73 nucleotides) under Camelus bactrianus (Bactrian camel). It matches the Rfam family "tRNA". Rfam says of the family: Transfer RNA (tRNA) molecules are approximately 80 nucleotides in length. Their secondary structure includes four short double-helical elements and three loops (D, anti-codon, and T loops). The record is from Rfam by way of RNAcentral. RNAcentral also lists the same sequence under 1 other name. Lineage: Eukaryota; Metazoa; Chordata; Mammalia; Artiodactyla; Camelidae.